RNAcentral lists this ribosomal RNA (460 nucleotides) under uncultured bacterium. RNAcentral's name for it is "partial 16S ribosomal RNA". It matches the Rfam family "Bacterial small subunit ribosomal RNA", at positions 338 to 795 of the family's 1533-position model. The record is from RNAcentral.
CCUACGGGUGGCAGCAGUGAGGAAUAUUGGUCAAUGGGCGCAAGCCUGAACCAGCCAAGUAGCGUGAAGGAUGACUGCCCUACGGGUUGUAAACUUCUUUUAUAAAGGAAUAAAGUGAGGCACGUGUGCCUUUUUGUAUGUACUUUAUGAAUAAGGAUCGGCUAACUCCGUGCCAGCAGCCGCGGUAAUACGGAGGAUCCGAGCGUUAUCCGGAUUUAUUGGGUUUAAAGGGAGCGUAGACGGGUUGUUAAGUCAGUUGUGAAAUGUUGCGGCUCAACCGUAAAAUUGCAUUUGAUGUGGGCAGUCUUGAGUACAGUUGAGGUAAGCGGAAUGCGUGGUGUAGCGGUGAAAUGCUUAGAUAUCACGAAGAACCCCGAUUGCGAAGGCAGCUUACUAAACUGUGACUGACAUUGAUGCUCGAAAGUGUGGGUAUCAAACAGGAUUAGAUACCCGUGUAGUC